RNAcentral lists this ribosomal RNA (202 nucleotides) under uncultured bacterium. Its description in RNAcentral is "partial 16S ribosomal RNA". It matches the Rfam family "Bacterial small subunit ribosomal RNA", at positions 1299 to 1500 of the family's 1533-position model. The record is from RNAcentral.
CGCAGGCUGCAACCCGCCUGCGUGAAGUUGGAAUCGCUAGUAAUCGCGGAUCAGCAUGCCGCGGUGAAUACGUUCCCGGGCCUUGUACACACCGCCCGUCACACCAUGAGAGUCGGGAACACCCGAAGUCCGUAGCCUAACCGCAAGGGGGGCGCGGCCGAAGGUGGGUUCGAUAAUUGGGGUGAAGUCGUAACAAGGUAAC